This is a long non-coding RNA of Bubalus bubalis (water buffalo), 1305 nucleotides long. RefSeq lists it as uncharacterized. The transcript has 3 exons. The record is from RefSeq and is a predicted model, not a curated record. Lineage: Eukaryota; Metazoa; Chordata; Mammalia; Artiodactyla; Bovidae.
GAUUCUUUACCCACUAAGCCACCAGGCCAACUUCUCCUCCUUGUUCACCUGGUUAACUCAUUUUAGCCCAAGGGCAAAUCAUCACCGAAUUUCCCCUUUUGCCCUCCAUUUUGGUCUAAGACUCCUAUGUUAAUUUCCAUUCUGAUCACGAGCUACUUUGUAGUAGUAUUGGUGAUGAUGGUCGUAGUAUUUAUCACAGUUUCAGUGUUACAUUUUCUUUUGGUUUUGUCUCCUCUACUAGCUUGCGGUCUCCAUGAGGGCAGAGAUGAACCCAGUAGGCGCUUACUAAGUGGUUUUUGUGAAUGAAUGAUGCAUUUGCUACUUUGCUUUAAGGCCAGUCCUUUUAAUGCCCACUUUUCACAUACUGGGAAACUGACGUCCAGAGAGGAUUGCCCCGAGGGAGAGCAAGUAGGGGAUAGCUCUAGUGGUGCCCCUCCCCCCAUUUAGAGAUUCGCUAUCACCCCCACCCACCCCUACUUCCUCCACUGUGUGGGACCCAAGGAACACAAGCCCCAGCUCUGGACUCCGCUGAGCUGGGAAAGGGCCUGUCCACAGGUCAAGACCAGCCCAGAAGCGGCUCCCAGACCGGUUUAGCCGGUUCCUGGAGCGCGGGCGAGGUCCAGCCGCCUUAGGCGGUUAAGACGCAGACCUUGACCAGAUUGCCAGCGGCUCGGGGCGGGCGCUCGAUCUACCCUUGGAACUUUGAGUCCUAGGCUGGGCCCUCGGGGUGAGUGGUUUAGCCAAGGCAGAGGGCGGGGUUAUCCGGGUGUCGAUCACGUACAUGGGCGGGGCAUGCAAAUUAAGCAGCGUUCCAUUUCUCUCUGAGCCCCGCCCCUCCGCGCUGCACCUAGCUACUUCCUACAACUCCCGAAGUCGGUCGGUGGCUCUGGCGGCUCCGCCCCUCCCCCAAGCUCGUCCCUCCCGGAUUCUGCCCACAUGGUCGGAGCUUAGCCACCCCCUUAUCCCAGCGCCCCGCGGAUGUAGGGGCGGGGUUUAGGAGCCAAGCGGGAAGGCGGAGGCCGUGCUGUGGGCUCCUGGGGCUGGGGGUCGGCUCGGAAUCAGCAUGCAGGAUCUUAAUAAUUCCCCGACCAGGGAUGGAACCCACUCCCUCUGCAGGAGAAGUGUGGAGUCUUAACCACUGGACUGCCAGGCAGAGUGAAAUUGUUAUGACCACCCAGCCCAGAAGAAUUGAUGCUUUUGAACUGUGGUGUUGGAGAAGACUUUUGAGCGUCCCUUGGGCUGCAAGGAGAUCAAACCAGUCCAUACUAAAGGAAAUCAGUCCUGAAUAUUCAUUGGAUGGACUGA